This 484-nucleotide ribosomal RNA is filed under the name uncultured bacterium. RNAcentral describes it as "partial 16S ribosomal RNA". It matches the Rfam family "Bacterial small subunit ribosomal RNA", at positions 29 to 507 of the family's 1533-position model. The record is from RNAcentral.
AUUGAACGCUGGCGGCAUGCUUUACACAUGCCAGUCGAACGGCAGCGCGGGCUUCGGCCUGGCGGCGAGUGGCGAACGGGUGAGUAAUACAUCGGAACGUGCCCAGUAGUGGGGGAUAGCACGGCGAAAGCCGGAUUAAUACCGCAUACGACCUGAGGGUGAAAGCGGGGGAUCUUCGGACCUCGCGCUAUUGUAGCGGCCGAUGGCAGAUUAGCUAGUUGGUGGGGUGAGGGCCUACCAAGGCGACGAUCUGUAGCUGGUCUGAGAGGACGACCCGCCACACUGGAACUGAGACACGGCCCAGACUCCUACGGGAGGCAGCAGUGGGGAAUGUUGGACAAUGGGCGAAAGCCUGAUCCAGCAAUGCCGCGUGUGUGAUGAAGGCCUUCGGGUUGUAAAGCACUUUUGGCGGGAACGAAAAGCACUGUGCCAAUACCACGGUUCGAUGACGGUACCCGCAGAAUAAGCACCGGCUAACUACGUG